AACUUAAUGAAUUGACGGGACCGCACAAGCGGUGGAUGAUGUGGAUUAAUUCGAUGCAACGCGAAAACCUUACCUACCCUUGACAUGUUCGGAAUUCCGCAGAGAUGUGGAAGUGCUCGAAAGAGAACCGGAACACAGGUGCUGCAUGGCUGUCGUCAGCUCGUGUCGUGAGAUGUUGGGUUAAGUCCCGCAACGAGCGCAACCCUUGUCAUUAGUUGCUACGAAAGGGCACUCUAAUGAAACUGCCGGUGACAAACCGGAGGAAGGUGGGGAUGACGUCAAGUCCUCAUGGCCCUUAUGGGUAGGGCUUCACACGUCAUACAAUGGUCGGUACAGAGGGCUGCCAACCCGUAAGGGGAGCCAAUCCUUUAAAACCGAUCGUAGUCCGGAUUGAGGUCUGCAACUCGACCUCAUGAAGUCGGAAUCGCUAGUAAUCGCGGAUCAGCAUGCCCGCGGUCGAAUACGUUCCGGGCCUU
RNAcentral lists this ribosomal RNA (476 nucleotides) under uncultured Alcaligenaceae bacterium. RNAcentral's name for it is "bacterial SSU rRNA". It matches the Rfam family "Bacterial small subunit ribosomal RNA", at positions 904 to 1382 of the family's 1533-position model. The record is from RNAcentral. Lineage: Bacteria; Pseudomonadati; Pseudomonadota; Betaproteobacteria; Burkholderiales; Alcaligenaceae.